GUUGCUAUAAAAGUAGGUCAUAAUGAUUCCUCCCACUAUAAAGGAGCCUCACAACCUUCCUGGCCUUUCUGUUUUUCGAACCUUUACGGAACUCAGCUCCAUAUUCUGCAAUUGGAAUGAAACCAGAGCCCCUUCCUCCAUGCUCCUGUUCUGGUAUGUAUACCAUAAUUGGCUGGCAACACAACUUCGAUAAUACCAAUAGCUCUGACUCUCCUCCCCAGAAAUCAGACCGUCCGAUACGUUGGCAAUAUCGUCUCAAAGACUCCUCAACUGUAAUGGCAACCAAGGCCUCUUCAUAUUUAAGACGUUCUUUCUCAUCAUCACAAAUAGCCUCCUUUACAGCCAUCCUUAAUUCAUCUGCAUCAUCUCUUUCAUCUCGAGGGUGAAGUUUCACGCCUUUGUUGAAAGCCAUCCCUUUUACCAGAGCACGAAACAUGCAGCGCCCAUCACCUGUUAUUUUCUGCACUGAAUAACGUUCUACUUUUUUUAAGGCUGGCGAAGCUCCACCUAGUGAAGGUCCUAUUCUGGCAAAAAACUGAUGACCAAUGGCGGCAGAAGAAACGAAAAAUGGGUUUCCUCUUUGAUUAGGUCUAUAACUGGAAGCAGAAACUGAAGCAACUGGAGAAGUAACAAGCUCAAACUGGGCGAAUCCAUGUCUCAGCUCAUCAAGAACCGUUUCAUUAGAG
Molecule: unclassified non-coding RNA, 686 nt
Filed under: Hevea brasiliensis (rubber tree)
Lineage: Eukaryota; Viridiplantae; Streptophyta; Magnoliopsida; Malpighiales; Euphorbiaceae
Source: RNAcentral